Long non-coding RNA from Solanum stenotomum, 187 nucleotides. RefSeq lists it as uncharacterized. The record is from RefSeq and is a predicted model, not a curated record. The transcript is spliced from 2 exons. Lineage: Eukaryota; Viridiplantae; Streptophyta; Magnoliopsida; Solanales; Solanaceae.
CUUGCCUUCAAUUUCUGCCUUUUGGCAGCCUGUUCAGCUUGCAUGAGGAGGUGAACUUCAGCGAUUCUAUCAGUUCCAAAAGAAGUUUGAAGCUUUGCUAAACCAGCUUCCAGUAGGGUCACCGCCACAUUGGAUCUUGAUUCCCAUAAUGUUCCAAUGAAAGUCCCUGUUCUGUCAACUGUUUCUA